This 383-nucleotide ribosomal RNA is filed under the name Osmundea sp. RNAcentral's name for it is "partial small subunit ribosomal RNA". It matches the Rfam family "Eukaryotic small subunit ribosomal RNA", at positions 582 to 975 of the family's 1831-position model. Lineage: Eukaryota; Rhodophyta; Florideophyceae; Ceramiales; Rhodomelaceae. The record is from RNAcentral.
AUUCCAGCUCUGUAAGCGUAUACCAAAGUUGUUGCAGUUAAAACGCUCGUAGUCGAACCUUGGCGUGAGUUACGGAGGCUCCUAAUGGACGUUGAAGUAACUCCGCCUUUGUGGAGGGGGGUGUGGUGUUACUUAAUUGUAUUGCCGCAUUUCCGCCACUGUUUACUGUGAAAAAAUUAGAGUGUUCAAAGCGAGCGUUCGCCAUGAAUACAUUAGCAUGGAAUAAUAGAAUAGGACCUGGUCCUGUUUUAUUGGUUUGUCUGUAUCAGGUAAUGAUUAACAGGGACGGUCGGGGGCAUUUGUAUUCCAGCGUUAGAGGUGAAAUUCUUGGAUCGCUGGAAGACAAACAGCUGCGAAAGCGUCUGCCAAGGACGUUUUCAUCA